This 387-nucleotide ribosomal RNA is filed under the name uncultured Anaerolineaceae bacterium. RNAcentral's name for it is "bacterial SSU rRNA". It matches the Rfam family "Bacterial small subunit ribosomal RNA", at positions 983 to 1382 of the family's 1533-position model. The record is from RNAcentral. Lineage: Bacteria; Bacillati; Chloroflexota; Anaerolineae; Anaerolineales; Anaerolineaceae.
GACAUGUAAGUGGUAGUGAUCUGAAAAGUGAACGACCCUUCCGGGGAGCUUACACAGGUGCUGCAUGGCUGUCGUCAGCUCGUGUCGUGAGAUGUUCGGUUAAGUCCGCUAACGAGCGCAACCCCCACUGUGUGUUACAUGUGUCACACGGGACUGCCGGUUUUAAGCCGGAGGAAGGCGAGGAUGACGUCAAGUCAGCAUGGCCUUUAUAUCUUGGGCUACACACACGCUACAAUGGUCUGUACAAUAGGUUGCCAAGCCGCGAGGCGGAGCCAAUCCUUAAAGCAGGCCUCAGUUCAGAUUGCAGGCUGCAACCCGCCUGCAUGAAGAUGGAGUUGCUAGUAACCGCAGGUCAGCUAUACUGCGGUGAAUACGUUCCCGGGUCUU